This is a long non-coding RNA of Clupea harengus (Atlantic herring), 1794 nucleotides long. Lineage: Eukaryota; Metazoa; Chordata; Actinopteri; Clupeiformes; Clupeidae. The record is from Ensembl.
CUGAAGUCUUGAGUGUUUCCUGACAUGCUCAUGGUGGGAAUAAAGUAUGGCACACGUCAGCCACACAUAAGGACACAGCCCAUGUAUCAACACAUCUAGAAACUUUUGGCAACACUAAUAUCGAAGCUUUAUUACUACAACACUACAAGACUACUUUCUGUAUUUCCAAUGUACUGUAGUUUAGUAAUCCAUGUUUUUUCUUUAGAUUUCACAUCAUUAGAUUUGUAGGGUGCCAGAGCAGUGUUUGUAGAGGCCUGACUUGUUUAUGCUCUUAUCUGCUUUGCCACUGGAGGAGGCGUGGCUAUCUCUAAGUCCAACCGCUGGGAGUGGUUGAGUGUGGAGAACAAAACGAGAGCCACACCGACAGCCAGAAACAACAGAAGAGGUCUUUGAAAGCAGCACAUUCAGGCUUCAAUCUGACCUCGAAGACACGAGUGUCAUCAUCCAUUGAGGAAACCAGGGCUGAGGUUACAGUUGUGCAGGACGUGGUGGACAGCACAGACAGAGAGGCGCGUUCUUUACUGGACCAGAUGGGUGGCUCACUGAGAGAUGGAGUGUUUGAGGUUCAGUGUGAACUCAUAAACAGGAGAGAAGAGGCCUCUCUGAAAGCUCUGAUAGAUGGUCUUCAGAAAGGAAAGCCCCCGGUGAUCAGUGGAAUGGAGAGGAGUCAGGUUCUGCAAGAACACAGAGUGACCGAGGACCAGGUGACCUGCCUGCUCCACAUGGUGAGGAGGAAAGGGGAACGGGCCUGUGAGAUAUUCCUCUACGGUGAGCUUGGUUUUGAAACAACUCUGUGAUCGAUGAGAGUCCAGUUUAGUGGCCGACCAGAACCGUUGGUUCUAACGUAUGGUUGGGAUAUCGUUGUGUGAAUGUGAUGUGAACCGGAUGCCACAAAAGAUGUGCAUUAAAUGCUGUUCUAAACCAAAUGGAGCUGUGUCUUUGUUUAAGCUGAGUGCCACAAGUGGUGCUAUAGUCUACUUUGAGGAAUGACAGCUCAAUCACUAGCUGUCCAACCAGUUUGUUUUAAGAUGUUGCCUUUUCGAAAUCAUCUGGUUGACACAUUUUUUUUUUUUUUACAUAAUGCCACAGGGUAGUGAGCACAAGUUCAUAGUGCCAAACACGCAUGCUCACUGCACUGUCCUCACUUAGUGUGAGAUUAACACGCAUGCUCACUGCACUGUCCUCACUUAGUGUGAGAUUAACACGCAUGCUCACUGCACUAAUCAUAGUGUGUUCACAUAGCCUACUCAGUACAACGAUUAGUAUUAUAUCACACUAAGGACAGCAUGUGUGGUACUUUCACUGUACACAGUGGUGUAGAUUUAAGCAAUGUUUACCCAGUUCCAUUGACUGUAUUUUAUUACUUUUACUUUGUUUAUAUUUGCUGUGUAAGCCUAUAUUUAUUAUAUAGACAUUGUUGCUUCACCUUACACAAUAUAUUAUUUUAUAUCAUGUUGUUUCUCCUUUUUUACAAAAAACCCAGAGAACACCCAGAUGUCUCUGCUACGGUUUCUUUGCUGGGUGUCAGAUAGGCUUCACACACAUGGCAUUAUUCCCUUGAUUUCAACACUAAUGUCACAUCUUUCUUAAAGCAUAGGCCUAUAUUUCACAGCACUUCAAGAGAGAUUCCUUUUAUACAAUUUCAUGAAUUGAUUCAAAAUAGUUAUAAUAAUAAUAAUAAUAAUACUUUAACUUUAUAUAGCGCUUUUCUAGGUGCUCAAAGACGCUUUACAUAGGGCGAAGAAAAACAAAACAAAGAGAACACAAAAGAGCAAACAAACAAACAAACAGAAC